RNAcentral lists this ribosomal RNA (497 nucleotides) under uncultured bacterium. RNAcentral describes it as "partial 16S ribosomal RNA". It matches the Rfam family "Bacterial small subunit ribosomal RNA", at positions 28 to 507 of the family's 1533-position model. The record is from RNAcentral.
GAUGAACGCUGGCGGCGUGCCUAAUACAUGCAAGUCGAGCGAACAGACGAGGAGCUUGCUCCUCUGACGUUAGCGGCGGACGGGUGAGUAACACGUGGAUAACCUACCUAUAAGACUGGGAUAACUUCGGGAAACCGGAGCUAAUACCGGAUAAUAUAUUGAACCGCAUGGUUCAAUAGUGAAAGACGGUUUUGCUGUCACUUAUAGAUGGAUCCGCGCCGCAUUAGCUAGUUGGUAAGGUAACGGCUUACCAAGGCAACGAUGCGUAGCCGACCUGAGAGGGUGAUCGGCCACACUGGAACUGGUACACGGACCAGACUCCUACGGGAGGCAGCAGUAGGGAAUCUUCCGAAAUGGGCGACAGCCUGACGGAGCAACGCCGCGUGAGUGAUGAAGGUCUUCGGAUCGUAAAACUCUGUUAUUAGGGAAGAACAAAUGUGUAAGUAACUAUGCACGUCUUGACGGUACCUGAUCAGAAAGCCACGGCUAACUACGUG